Molecule: ribosomal RNA, 484 nt
Filed under: uncultured bacterium
Lineage: Bacteria
Description: partial 16S ribosomal RNA
Rfam family: Bacterial small subunit ribosomal RNA
Source: RNAcentral
AUUGAACGCUGGCGGCAUGCUUUACACAUGCAAGUCGAACGGCAGCGCGGGCUUCGGCCUGGCGGCGAGUGGCGAACGGGUGAGUAAUACAUCGGAACGUGCCCAGUAGUGGGGGAUAGCUCGGCGGAAGCCGGAUUAAUACCGCAUACGACCUGAGGGUGAAAGCGGGGGAUCUUCGGACCUCGCGCUAUUGGAGCGGCCGAUGGCAGAUUAGCUAGUUGGUGGGGUAAAGGCCUACCAAGGCGACGAUCUGUAGCUGGUCUGAGAGGACGACCAGCCACACUGGGACUGAGACACGGCCCAGACUCCUACGGGAGGCAGCAGUGGGGAAUUUUGGACAAUGGGCGAAAGCCUGAUCCAGCAAUGCCGCGUGUGUGAUGAAGGCCUUCGGGUUGUAAAGCACUUUUGGCGGGAACGAAAAGGACUGUGCCAAUACCACGGUUCGAUGACGGUACCCGCAGAAUAAGCACCGGCUAACUACGUG